CGCUCCCUGUAAGAGAUGGGGAGUCUGACCUGCCCAGUGAUUUAUUUAACGGCCGCGGUACCCUGACCGUGCAAAGGUAGCAUAAUCAUUCGCUUUUUAAUUGAAGGCUUGUAUGAACGGUUUGACGUGGGCUAUGCUGUCUCUAAGAAAAUUCCUAGAAAUUACUUUUUAGGUGAAAAAGCCUAAAUUAAACUAAGGGACGAGAAGACCCCUUUGAGCUUUAGUGACAUGUAAUUAUAAGUUUAUCAUAUAUUGAAUAGUGUUAUAGUUGCUUUAUUUUUAGUGGGGGAAAACAGAGGAGGGAAUUAAGUCUCCUCUUAUUUUAAUUGAUUUGUUAGCUAAUUUUUUAGUUGAUCCGCAUAAUGUGAUUAAAGGAUAAAGUUACCAUGGGGAUAACAGCGUAAUAUCUCCUGGAGAGUUCUUAUUGAAGGGAGGGUUUGCGACCUCGAUGUUGGACUAGGACGUCCUAAGGGUGCAGAAGUUCUUAAGGGUUGGUCUGUUCGACCAUUAAAGUCCUACA
RNAcentral lists this ribosomal RNA (520 nucleotides) under Lepetellidae sp. SWA-2010. RNAcentral describes it as "partial 16S ribosomal RNA". It matches the Rfam family "Bacterial large subunit ribosomal RNA", at positions 1817 to 2600 of the family's 2925-position model. Lineage: Eukaryota; Metazoa; Mollusca; Gastropoda; Lepetellida; Lepetellidae. The record is from RNAcentral.